RNAcentral lists this ribosomal RNA (478 nucleotides) under uncultured bacterium. RNAcentral describes it as "bacterial SSU rRNA". It matches the Rfam family "Bacterial small subunit ribosomal RNA", at positions 328 to 793 of the family's 1533-position model. The record is from RNAcentral.
UCAGUCGACUCCUACGGGGAGGCAGCAGUGGGGGAAUAUUGCACAAUGGGCGCAAGCCUGAUGCAGCCAUGCCGCGUGUAUGAAGAAGGCCUUCGGGUUGUAAAGUACUUUCAGCAGUGAGGAAGGUGGGGUAUGUUAAUAGCAUACUCAUUUGACGUUAGCUGCAGAAGAAGCACCGGCUAACUCCGUGCCAGCAGCCGCGGUAAUACGGAGGGUGCGAGCGUUAAUCGGAAUUACUGGGCGUAAAGCGCAUGCAGGUGGUUUGUUAAGUCAGAUGUGAAAGCCCGGGGCGUCAACCUCGGAAUUGCAUUUGAAACUGGCAAACUAGAGUACUGUAGAGGGGGGUAGGAAUUUCAGGUGUAGCGGUGAAAUGCGUAGAGAUCUGAAGGAAUACCGGUGGCGAAGGCGGCCCCCUGGACAGAUACUGACACUCAGAUGCGAAAGCGUGGGGAGCAAACAGGAUUAGAUACCCUGGUAG